UACCGCACUCCUACGGGAGGCAGCAGUGGGGAAUAUUGCACAAUGGGCGCAAGCCUGAUGCAGCCAUGCCGCGUGUAUGAAGUAAGGCCUUCGGGUUGUAAAGUACUUUCAGCAGUGAGGAAGGUGGGUAUGUUAAUAGCAUAUUCAUUUGACGUUAGCUGCAGAAGAAGCACCGGCUAACUCCGUGCCAGCAGCCGCGGUAAUACGGAGGGUGCGAGCGUUAAUCGGAAUUACUGGGCGUAAAGCGCAUGCAGGUGGUUUGUUAAGUCAGAUGUGAAAGCCCGGGGCUCAACCUCCGGAAUUGCAUUUGAAACUGGCAAACUAGAGUACUGUAGAGGGGGUAGAAUUUCAGGUGUAGCGGUGAAAUGCGUAGAGAUCUGAAGGAAUACCGGUGGCGAAGGCGGCCCCCUGGACAGAUACUGACACUCAGAUGCGAAAGCGUGGGGAGCAAACAGGAUUAGAUACCCUGGUAG
This 473-nucleotide ribosomal RNA is filed under the name uncultured bacterium. RNAcentral describes it as "bacterial SSU rRNA". It matches the Rfam family "Bacterial small subunit ribosomal RNA", at positions 329 to 793 of the family's 1533-position model. The record is from RNAcentral.